GUUAUUUACAAGAGCUUAACCUGAAUUGCUGGUACAAAUGUGAAGUAUCCAAUGAGGAUGAUACACAGCUCAGUUGCCAUAUUCUUCAUGAUGGACCAGCUUUCAUUGCUUAAACCUUAAGACAGAACCAACCAGAAAGCGUCAAAACAGUAAAAGACAGUACUUAGUACCGAAUGGUCUGCUGCUUGUAAUCAAACACUGGGAAAAGAAAACUAAGUGCACAUAUUUUAAUAGUGCUGAUAAUUGCAUCAUCUCUGACCUUGAGCAAUACGCAGCUUGACUUCAAGAUCGACAGGCGUUGACACAACAGACUUGGUGAGGACAAGGACAUUCUCCAAACCAAUUACCACCACAAGAGUGGCUGAAGUAUGAAGGCCUUUGGGUUCAUGUUGGUGGAUCGUCUUCAGGAGGUCUGGAUCUGCAUCAAACAAGUCACGUCGGUUCUGCCAAUAGUUGCCAGGGGAUACCAGCAGGCAGCCGUGCUCUGGAAGGACCGCCUGCAUGCGCCGCAACCCUGGCAACAGGUCUGUUACCUGCAAGCACAGAGCCUCCAAACUUCUGAGAGGAGAGAAGUGAAGAAAACAGGAUAGAAUGAGGAGACUGAAAACGCGCCCAAGGGGAGAACGGAAAACGUCUACAGGAACCAGACUGUUGUCCCAUGGUGAAACUGCUGCCUUGACCAGAACCUGCUGGAUGUAGGCCACUGGAGGACCCCGAUACUGCAAGACAGGCGGC
Long non-coding RNA from Puntigrus tetrazona (Sumatra barb), 735 nucleotides. RefSeq lists it as uncharacterized. The record is from RefSeq and is a predicted model, not a curated record. Lineage: Eukaryota; Metazoa; Chordata; Actinopteri; Cypriniformes; Cyprinidae. The transcript has 4 exons.